Thalassophryne amazonica is the source of this 126-nucleotide long non-coding RNA. RefSeq lists it as uncharacterized. The record is from RefSeq and is a predicted model, not a curated record. The transcript is spliced from 3 exons. Lineage: Eukaryota; Metazoa; Chordata; Actinopteri; Batrachoidiformes; Batrachoididae.
UGCAUGCUGAAUUGGCACAAGUUUUACACCGGAUGCCCUUCCUGAUGCAACUCCACAUUACAUGGAGAAAUGUGGCAGGGGUGGGAUUGGAACUGGGAACCUUCAGAUCAGAAGAACACACGUCUG